AUACGUAGGUGGCAAGCGUUGUCCGGAAUUAUUGGGCGUAAAGCGCGCGCAGGUGGUUCCUUAAGUCUGAUGUGAAAGCCCCCGGCUCAACCGGGGAGGGUCAUUGGAAACUGGGGAACUUGAGUGCAGAAGAGGAUAGUGGAAUUCCAAGUGUAGCGGUAAAUGCGUAGAGAUUUGGAGGAACACCAGUGGCGAAGGCGACUGUCGGGUCUGUAACUGACACUGAGGCGCGAAAGCGGGGGGAGCAAACAGGAUUAGAUACCCUGGUAGUCCACGCCGUAAACGAUGAGUGCUAAGUGUUGGGGGGUUUCCGCCCCUCAGUGCUGCAGCUAACGCAUUAAGCACUCCGCCUGGGGAGUACGGUCGCAAGACUGAAACUCAAAUGAAUUGACGGGG
Molecule: ribosomal RNA, 396 nt
Filed under: uncultured bacterium
Lineage: Bacteria
Description: partial 16S ribosomal RNA
Rfam family: Bacterial small subunit ribosomal RNA
Source: RNAcentral